AUCUCACUUUCUGGUCACAGUGGUUAGUUUAGGGACCAAAGCUGGUCCAAUCAAAGUGAAUCCUAAGGUGCUUAUGGGGCCCAUUGGGAGGAGAAGCGUCUCUGCUGGAGUGGCUGCAUGGACGUGUGAGGGCUAGAGUUGUGAAGCCUUGAUGCCACCAUGAGGAACAGAGAAGAAACCAAAGUAGGGAAAGGCAGAAGCAAGAACUGGAGAAACAUGCUUCCUGGUGACGUCACUUAAGUCCCUGGACUUUGCUACACCUGAUCACUUAAGUUUCCAGUCACAUUUUUCUUUUCAUUUCUAAGCCGAUGAGUGAAAACUUCCUUAUGGACCAGACCAGCAAGUAGACUCACCUUUGGGAGCCACCAUCUUGAUCCACCUUGCAGUGUCAGCACCUCGGAGAGCGGCGUACCUCACAUGCAACCCUGUAAUGCUUGUGUGGUAAAGAAGCAAACUAGAUUUUCAUCCUCUGUUCCUUCUGGCCCAGAGUGACCCCUCUGUGGAUGACUGCUGAGUGAGAGCCUGUAUGACUGCCAGAGCUGCCCAAGCUGUAAAGGAAGCACUCCAUGAUUAACAACCCCAACACUGCGUGGGAAUGGACACAACUGGCGAAUGUGAAAAGGGAAGAGGCCAUGUGAGGGCAGAGUGGGAAGGCCACCAUAUACAGAUCUGGAUGAGAGUCUUCGCCAGAAAUCUACCCAGAUGGCACCAUGGUCUUGGACUUCUAGCUUCCUUAACUUUUUUGCAGUAAUUUCUCAGGGUAGCCUGCUGAGUUUCUAGACAGAUGACCUCGUCCUGUGUGCCUCAUCCACUUCACUUGCAUUUGAGAAGGCCUUUGCAGGUCACGAAGCACUGUUCUGAUGGGAGGAUUUAGUGGAGACGAUAUAUGUACUACUGAAGUGGGGAUCAUGUGAUUUCCCCCCCACAGCAAAGCUGACGUUAUUAAUUCACUCUGGGACCCAGUGUGUUUGUCACAACUCCUUUGAUGGCAAGUGAUAUAAUAACAACCCAAACCAGCUAAAACCAGAAAAGGAAUUAAUAAAUUAUUAACUCAGAAGUUUCCAUCUUCAGGUGGUGUCUCAAUCUGUGGCAAAGAAGGCCCCAAGGCUCCAGGGCUGCACACCUUUACUGCUGGUGGGAAUUCAGUGUGAUUGUGGGAGGACAUGAUGCCUGGCACCACAGCAGCCUCUUCUUAACCUGAGGAAUCAUACCUGAAGAUGGUCGAGUGGAGCAAUGCAAAGAACCAGAUGCCAAGAAUCUGGGCUUCCAACAGCAUCACCCUGCACCUGGGACCUCUUUCUAGUUGGCAAGAUAAUGUGUUCUCAUUGUUGAAGCCACUUUUAAGAAGGAUGGAUUCUUAACUACUGGACCAUCAGGGAAGUCCCUGAGAAGGUACUCUUUACUUGCAACUGAAAGCAUCCUACCUGAUAAGAAUGGUUGAACUGAUUUCUUCAGUCAGAGAGGUAGGAAUUGGCUCCUGGCACCACCACAGUUAUUGUGCAUCCUCUUUAAAGCUGCUUCCUCCUCUAUGAGAUGCAGCACACAGGCUGCAGGACCUUGAAAGGCAGGAACCAAAUUCAGCUCUCCUCUUAUGUCUGCAAAAGUAUCAGCCCAGUUUGGAGACACGCUAUAGCUUGGCACCACAGAUGCUAACUGAAUCAAGAGGCUGCAUAGAACAGCAAGGAACAGCCUGGGCUAAGGAAACCAGUCUCUUCUCUACACAGGGGGGAGCCCAUUAAAAAUCUGAGUUGGAUGGUGCAGCACACCCACGGGAAACCUUCUGAAUCUUCACCAGCGCUGGGCCCUAAUGACACCUGUCUGGCUUCAUCUCCACGCUCACUCCAUCCCAGCCUCGUGUCCUCUCCACCCAGGGUGGUGCUUGCCACCCUGUUUGGGUGGCUCUUCCUCGUCUUGGACAGGUGAGGUCAUCCCUCCCUGCACUCAGGUCUUUGUUUAAACUCACACCUCUCUGACCUUCUCCAAGUACACAUGACUGCUGACUUCAAGUCACACAUGCACUUAUGGGUCGUCUGUCUCCCCAGCUAGAAUGUGAGCUCCACGGGAGCAGCAAAUAUGUUCACCGUAGGACCCCCAGCACCCUGAACAGUGCCUGGCACUUGUCCUUAAACCAACUCAGCUUCCAUGAAGGUUUUAUGCUGUAGGAUAUCUAAGAGUUCGGAAGGCUCCACAUCACAGCAGGUAUUGACCUGAGAUAGGAUUUCCUGGCAGGACUGAAUCCCACAGGGGCCUUGAUAAUCACCAGUCUCUGUUCUGCCUCUGUGGAUUUGCCUCUUCUGGAUAUUCCAUAUAAAUGGAAUCGUACAAAACUCCUUUAUCUCCUGGUUCCUGCCUUACCUCUUCAGAACUGUGCCUCAGAGCUAUCUGAGAGCUUGGGUCCUUAGUGUCUGCUGAAUAAAACAUAAUUCUCAACUUU
Molecule: long non-coding RNA, 2434 nt
Organism: Dama dama (fallow deer)
Lineage: Eukaryota; Metazoa; Chordata; Mammalia; Artiodactyla; Cervidae
Exons: 15
Source: RefSeq, a predicted model, not a curated record